GCCCAAGAGAUCGGGAUAACACCUGGAAACAGAUGCUAAUACCGGAUAACAACAGAUGAUGCCUAUCAACUGUUUAAAAGAUGGUUCUGCUAUCACUCUUGGAUGGACCUGCGGUGCAUUAGCUAGUUGGUAGGGUAACGGCCUGCCAAGGCGAUGAUGCAUAGCCGAGUUGAGAGACUGAUCGGCCACAUUGGGACUGAGACACGGCCCAAACUCCUACGGGAGGCAGCAGCU
This 234-nucleotide ribosomal RNA is filed under the name uncultured Lactobacillus sp. RNAcentral's name for it is "partial 16S ribosomal RNA". It matches the Rfam family "Bacterial small subunit ribosomal RNA", at positions 128 to 355 of the family's 1533-position model. Lineage: Bacteria; Bacillati; Bacillota; Bacilli; Lactobacillales; Lactobacillaceae. The record is from RNAcentral.